Molecule: ribosomal RNA, 508 nt
Filed under: uncultured bacterium
Lineage: Bacteria
Description: partial 16S ribosomal RNA
Rfam family: Bacterial small subunit ribosomal RNA
Source: RNAcentral
AUUGAACGCUGGCGGCAUGCCUUACACAUGCAAGUCGAACGGCAGCGGGGGAGAAGCUUGCUUUUCCUGCCGGCGAGUGGCGAACGGGUGAGUAAUACAUCGGAACGUGCCCUGUAGUGGGGGAUAACCAGUCGAAAGAUUAGCUAAUACCGCAUACGACCUGAGGGUGAAAGUGGGGGACCGCAAGGCCUCAUGCUAUAGGAGCGGCCGAUAUCAGAUUAGGUAGUUGGUGGGGUAAAGGCCCACCAAGCCAACGAUCUGUAGCUGGUCUGAGAGGACGACCAGCCACACUGGAACUGAGACACGGUCCAGACUCCUACGGGAGGCAGCAGUGGGGAAUUUUGGACAAUGGGCGAAAGCCUGAUCCAGCCAUUCCGCGUGCAGGAUGAAGGCCCUCGGGUUGUAAACUGCUUUUGUACAGAACGAAAAGGUUUCUACUAAUACUAGGAGCUCAUGACGGUACUGUAAGAAUAAGCACCGGCUAACUACGUGCCAGCAGCCGCCGUAA